GACGAACGCUGGCGGCGUGCUUAACACAUGCAAGUCGAACGGAAAGGCCCUGCUUGCAGGGUACUCGAGUGGCGAACGGGUGAGUAACACGUGGGUGAUCUGCCCUGCACUUCGGGAUAAGCCUGGGAAGCUGGGUCUAAUACCGGAUAGGAGCCAUUUUUAGUGUGAUGGUUGGAAAGUUUUUUCGGUGUAGGAUGAGCUCGCGGCCUAUCAGCUUGUUGGUGGGGUAAUGGCCUACCAAGGCGGCGACGGGUAGCCGGCCUGAGAGGGUGGACGGCCACAUUGGGACUGAGAUACGGCCCAGACUCCUACGGGAGGCAGCAGUGGGGAAUAUUGCACAAUGGGCGCAAGCCUGAUGCAGCGACGCCGCGUGGGGGAUGACGGCCUUCGGGUUGUAAACUCCUUUCGCUAGGGACGAAGCUUUUUGGGACGGUACCUAGAUAAGAAGCACCGGCUAACUACGUG
Molecule: ribosomal RNA, 465 nt
Filed under: uncultured bacterium
Lineage: Bacteria
Description: partial 16S ribosomal RNA
Rfam family: Bacterial small subunit ribosomal RNA
Source: RNAcentral